Molecule: long non-coding RNA, 187 nt
Organism: Pipistrellus kuhlii (Kuhl's pipistrelle)
Lineage: Eukaryota; Metazoa; Chordata; Mammalia; Chiroptera; Vespertilionidae
Exons: 4
Source: RefSeq, a predicted model, not a curated record
GACUGGAGUUCAGAGUGUGCUCUUCCAGACUGAAAAUUCGGGCCCACAGAGGGCUGCGCCACUUCUGGGGUCUUCGCGUUCGAGGCCGGCACACCAAGACCACAGGCCUCCGGGGACACACUGUGGGUGUGUCCAAGAAGAAAUAAGUCUGUAGGCCAUGUCUGUUAAUAAAUAGUUUAUACACCUA